RNAcentral lists this long non-coding RNA (383 nucleotides) under Gallus gallus (chicken). The record is from RNAcentral. Lineage: Eukaryota; Metazoa; Chordata; Aves; Galliformes; Phasianidae.
AAGGUAGGUACACUAGUAGGUAAAGAAUUGAUUCUAAGCAAGCUGAAGGCAUGUCCAGUGAGACUUUGGAGAGUGAAUUGCAACACAAAGCAAGAGCCAAUGUUGGCUGAUCAGUUACUGCUAUGCUGGAAUUUCAUUCUGUCGCACAGAAGCAAUCCAACACUGGUGAGCAAGAACUGGAAGACUGAAGCUCAGAUAGAAAUAACUUGCAGAGUGCUGAACAGACUGAGAACUGAUAGCACACGGGCUGGUGACCACAGAGAGGGGUCCUCUGAAUGCUGAAAACUCAGACUUGUCAGGACAUCCUUGAACUCAGCAGGAUGAUAAAUGAGGAUGACAUGAAACCUGUCGAACAGUAAGCUGGUAGAAAUAAUACUCUUUUU